This 479-nucleotide ribosomal RNA is filed under the name Clostridioides difficile. RNAcentral's name for it is "bacterial LSU rRNA". It matches the Rfam family "Bacterial large subunit ribosomal RNA", at positions 1 to 481 of the family's 2925-position model. Lineage: Bacteria; Bacillati; Bacillota; Clostridia; Peptostreptococcales; Peptostreptococcaceae. The record is from RNAcentral.
UGGUCAAGUUAUUAAGGGUGCAGGGCGGAUGCCUUGGCACUAGGAGCCGAUGAAGGACGUGAUAAGCUGCGAUAAGCUUCGGGGAGUUGCACGUAAACUUUGAUCCGAAGAUUUCCGAAUGAGGAAACUCACUUAGAGUAAUGUCUAAGUAUCAUUAAGUGAAUACAUAGCUUAAUGAGGGGAACUCAGGGAACUGAAACAUCUAAGUACCUGAAGGAAGAGAAAGAAAUUCGAUUCCGUAAGUAGCGGCGAGCGAACGCGGAUUAGCCCAAACCAAUAAAGUUUUCUUUAUUGGGGUUGCGGACAUAUCAUAACGAAGAGGUAUCGUAAUUGAAGAGGUUUGGAAAGACCCACCACAGAAGGUAAUAGUCCUGUAUGUUAAACGAGAAGACUUUAGAUAUGAUCCAGAGUACCACGGGACACGUGAAACCCUGUGGGAAGCAGGAGGGACCACCCUCCAAGGCUAAAUACUACCUAGU